RNAcentral lists this ribosomal RNA (253 nucleotides) under uncultured bacterium. RNAcentral describes it as "partial 16S ribosomal RNA". It matches the Rfam family "Bacterial small subunit ribosomal RNA", at positions 524 to 776 of the family's 1533-position model. The record is from RNAcentral.
AACGUAGGUUCCGAGCGUUAUCCGGAUUUACUGGGCGUAAAGCGUGUUCAGGCGGCUUAGCAAGUCGGGCAUGAAAUCUCUCGGCUCAACCGGGAGAGGCUGUCCGAUACUGCUGGGCUUGAGGGCAGUAGAGGGUGGUGGAAUUCCGGGUGUAGUGGUGAAAUGCGUAGAUAUCCGGAGGAACACCAGUGGCGAAAGCGGCCACCUGGACUGUACCUGACGCUCAAACACGAAAGCUAGGGGAGCGAACGGG